CAUAGCCCUUGAAAAUAUCAAAGGUGUAACCUGCCCAAUGAUUUUUGAUUUAAAAAUAAUAAAAAUAUUUAAAAAAAAUUUAAAGGACGCGGUAACCUUGACUGUGAUAAUGUAGCAUAAUCACUCGCCAUUUAAUUGAUGGAUAGUAUGAACGGUUGYACGAAUAUUACACURUCUAAAAAAUAGAUCUCAUAAAAAUGAAAUAAUAGUYAAGAUGCUAUUUAAAAUUGUAAGACGAAAAGACCCUAUAGAGCUUAACUAUAAUCUUUUUUCUAUGAAUAAAAAWAWUUUUUAUAUAAAGAAAGAUUGGUAGUUUAGUUGGGGCGACUAUUUUUUAAAAUAAACAAAAAUAAGCAAUAUUAAUAAAAUAAUUUAUUGUAUAAUAAACAAAUUUAACAAUUACUAAAGUAGGCUAUAAUGACCCGUUAUUAUUAUAUAAUAAAAAUAACGAUUAAUGAAUAAAAGCUACCUUAGGGAUAACAGGAUAAUUUUAUCUAAGAGUUCUUAUCAAAGAUAAAGUUUGUCACCUCUAUGUUGAAUUAAGAUAUCCAGAUAGUGCAGAAGCUAUCAAAGGUAGGUCUGUUCGACCUUUAAAAUCUUACAUGAUUU
This 609-nucleotide ribosomal RNA is filed under the name Eudendrium carneum. Its description in RNAcentral is "partial 16S ribosomal RNA". It matches the Rfam family "Bacterial large subunit ribosomal RNA", at positions 1814 to 2606 of the family's 2925-position model. Lineage: Eukaryota; Metazoa; Cnidaria; Hydrozoa; Anthoathecata; Eudendriidae. The record is from RNAcentral.